Aricia agestis (brown argus) is the source of this 73-nucleotide long non-coding RNA. RefSeq lists it as uncharacterized. The record is from RefSeq and is a predicted model, not a curated record. The transcript has 3 exons. NCBI's taxonomy places the organism in Eukaryota, Metazoa, Arthropoda, Insecta, Lepidoptera, Lycaenidae.
AGCUCUUCGGGAACGUCUAAGUAGCAGGAAUCGGCAUAGUCGAGGAUAGGGAGAAUGAGGGUUUGGACAAGGA